RNAcentral lists this ribosomal RNA (497 nucleotides) under uncultured bacterium. Its description in RNAcentral is "partial 16S ribosomal RNA". It matches the Rfam family "Bacterial small subunit ribosomal RNA", at positions 28 to 507 of the family's 1533-position model. The record is from RNAcentral.
GAUGAACGCUGGCGGCGUGCCUAAUACAUGCAAGUCGAGCGAACGUACCAUGAGCUUUCUCCUCUACCGUUAGCGGCGGACGGGUGAGUAACACGUAGAUAACCUACCUAUAUUACUUGGAUAACUUCGGGAAACCGUAUCUAAUACCGACUAAUAUAUUGAACCGCAGGGUUCAAUAGUUAAAUACGGUUUUGCUGUCACUUAUAGAUGUAUCCGCGCCGCAUUAGCUAGUUGGUAAGGUAAAGGCUUACCAAGGCUACGAUGCGUAUCCGAUCUGAGAGGGUGAUCGGCCACACUGGAGCUGAGACACGGUCAAGACUCCUACGGGAGGCAGCAGCAGGGAAUAUUAGGCAAUGGGCGAAAGCCUGAUGGAGCCAUGCCGCGUGAGUGAUGAAGGUCUUCGGAUCGUAAAGCUCUGUUAUUAGGGAAGAACAAAUGUGUAAGAAAAUAUCCACGUCCUGACGGUACCUAAUCAGUAAGCCCCGGCUAACUACGUG